Drosophila pseudoobscura is the source of this 873-nucleotide long non-coding RNA. RefSeq lists it as uncharacterized. Lineage: Eukaryota; Metazoa; Arthropoda; Insecta; Diptera; Drosophilidae. The record is from RefSeq and is a predicted model, not a curated record. The transcript has 2 exons.
UAUGUACAUACUAUAUGUAUUUUUUGAAAAACAUCAACAACCGACGACCGAGUGACAACUACGACUAUCCGUCGCGGCUCUUAGUCGUCCAUGCCGUAGUCCGCGUCGCAUCAGCCGUUGAUUCUAGCCGCCGGGGGCCGAUGCCAGCUAUUCGCACAACCAGUUAACAAGUGAACGGGCGGGCACACAGACGUGAAUGUACAGUGGACAAAGAUCAGGCUGUUACUGGAAAGGGUGCCACACCGUGGCAAGGAAGUUGCGUUGCCCGAAUGCGGCCCACUGUGCAACAAACCUGAUCAGCACAUGGAUACGCGCACACAGACACAGCUUCUGUUACACACACACACACACAUGCACUGAUACACAGGUAAAGAAAAACGAUACAAGCAAACGAUAUCAAUGGUCGCAACGGCUUCCAACUUGCUAAGCCGCAUUCCACGAGCUAUGGCUCUGGGCCUGGAAGGCUGCUGUCGGUUGUUUUCUGCUUCUCCUUGCAUACCACACAUUCACGGCAUAGUAGUAGUUCGUGCACUUAUUUAGUAUGUAAAUGUGCAUGCAAUACCUUGUGCGUCUACGAUAAUAACGGCUGGUUGGAAAAACCACACACAGCGGCUUGUCAAUAAUUAACAAACAUUUAAACACAAAAGCUCCACUUGGCUAGUUCGAAUUUUCUUACAGUUAGAUUUAAAAUUGCCAAUGAAAUUGCGGCCAGUGCUGCCAGACCGAUUUUAGAGUGCUGUUGAACAUCCAAUUUUAUAAUCGAUAAAUUCAUACAAUAUAAAUCGCGGUAGUACCGAUUAAGUACUUAUAUAUCGAUAAGUAGAAUUAAAAGUCGCGGGCAUUCGUUGGUAAUAAAUAUCCAUAUUAUAUAAA